Molecule: long non-coding RNA, 2066 nt
Organism: Macaca fascicularis (crab-eating macaque)
Lineage: Eukaryota; Metazoa; Chordata; Mammalia; Primates; Cercopithecidae
Source: Ensembl
GUGGGAGCGGCGGGGCUUCCGGGGAGGACGCUGGGACGCGCGGACGAGGCUCCCGGUUUAGGGAAUGGGUGGCUUUCGGAGGCUCCUGGGGGCCCGGCAUGCCCGCUGCUUGCGGGGCGUCCCAGGCUGUGCAGGAUCCCUGAGACGCUGCACCUGGGGCCUCAUAACGCUCAAACACUUUUACAUGCUGCUGGAGCUCAUAGUGGUCAGGAAAAUUUUUUAAAAUAGGCUGGGAAGUUGAAGCACAUGGCUGUGGCUUCUGGUGAGAGGUUUCAGGCUGUGUCAUAAUAUGGCAGAGAAGAUCAGUGGGUAAGUGGACAUGUGUGAAGAGAGGCAAAACCAGAGAGCACCCAGGCUGGACUUGAGCUCUUUCCUGGACUUAAGUGAUCCUCCUGCCUCAGCCUCCUGAAUAGUUUAACUUGACAAGAGUAGAAAAAUGUCAAGGUACAAGACAAUGCAAAACGUAAGGACAAAGGAGAAAAGCUUCCCCUUUCACCCUCUGAAGGUUUGGCUGAAAAUGAGCUGAAAAAGGCAGAGCAACAGGAGAAAAGGCAUGCGUUUAUUUUAACGUGCAUACCACGGGGAAUUGCAGAAGAGUAAUGACCUCAUAACCCAGCAGGGUCCAGAUGCCCAUAUACCCUCUCUUCAUAGGAAGUGGAGCCAGAAUCCACAGAUGUCAUUAUCCAUCUGCACACUUUGUUUACUACCCAGAAGGCAAGAAUAUUGCAUUUUAAAAGUAUCCGGACUUUUGUUCUUUAUCACAAAUGACUUGGGAAGCUCUGACCACUCAUGUUUACCCUGAGUGAAAGUCCCAGUCAAAGCCUUGCUUCCUGGAGAGCUUUGAGAUUCUGGUACAAAGGCAUUUUAUAAGCACAAAGUGGAAAAGCAUCAUUCAUAUUCAUUUGCUGCUGUGGCAUUUCUCCCUGGAAUCUUCCUCUUGUCUGUCAACAUUAGGCAAAAGGACUACUCCUCAUGUACUUUACAAAUAUUCUUGUCAUGGUCUGGAGGUAGGAAAAGGACACCCAGCACAAGAGUAAAAAGGGAAACUCAAGCUCUUCUGUUGGAGAGUCUCAGGCUUCUUUAUCCAUAAAACUGAUUGGACAUAAUUGGUGUGGGUUGAUGAUUUGUUUUGGAAAAACCCGAGUAUGAAAUCAAUACCGUGCUUUGUGCAUCUUGGCUGCAAUGAGUGUUUUUUAUGUGAUUGCAGGGACCGGUGGGAGAGGCGGCCAUCCGGAGGGCUCUCUGAGGGGUCAUUUAGAAUGCAGCUGCUCUGGGCAGAGGAUGGUCUGGGCUGGCCUCCGCUGCACUGAGAGGCUUGCAGAGUGGAGAAAUGUCCACUAGCAUGGCUUCUGUGAGGUGUGGGCAGCUCUUUUCUUGGUGUGGGGCUCUGUUUGGUGUGAUAUAAGAGAUAUCGCAGGGCUUUCCUGUCCCGGAAGAUCUUGGUGGGUGACACCUGUGGGGGUUGCCAGCUGGAUUAGGUGAGGCAGAGCACACAGCUCUACCUAACAAGUCCCAUUCUCAUCUGGGAAUAUUCCAGGACAUGGGCACUACCCAAGAGGCAGAGCCUGGAGUGCCGUUAUACAGGUGAAAGAUCUGAGUGCCAGGUCCAUGUAAAUGAGGUGGGUUGGGGUGGUCGAGGUGCUUAGAGAACAGGAGAGCUGCCACAGGAAGGGAUGGUACCCACAGGGAGGAAGACCCAUGUCUCAGACCCCUUCCUUUAUACCUCUUCCUGGGACCUCCUCGGAGUCUGCAGAUCAGCUGCUGCUUCUCCGUCUUCUGUCGUCGUCUUCAAAUCUUUUCAUCACAAAAAAUGCUGAGUGUAAACCUAAGUAGAGAGAACAGUAAAAGGAACUCCCAUGAGCCGUCACCAUCACCUACCAUCAACAGCGAUCAACACAUGGGCCGUCUACGUCCGUCUUCCCUACUUGCAUCCCCGCUCCAGAUUAUUAUCACAAGUAGCUCAUCCCUGGUUAUAUUGCAUUUAAUCCUCUCUGUUGCAUUUUUUUCUGGCCACGUUCUUCUGUCUGUCAAUCAUUGUUUUAAGUCAGACAGUCUGCUGGGUUGGC